RNAcentral lists this ribosomal RNA (460 nucleotides) under uncultured bacterium. RNAcentral describes it as "partial 16S ribosomal RNA". It matches the Rfam family "Bacterial small subunit ribosomal RNA", at positions 338 to 795 of the family's 1533-position model. The record is from RNAcentral.
CCUACGGGGCGCUGCAGUGAGGAAUAUUGGUCAAUGGACGGAAGUCUGAACCAGCCAUGCCGCGUGCAGGAAGACGGUUCUAUGAGUUGUAAACUGCUUUUGUACAAGGGUAAACCUCAAUACGUGUAUUGAGCUGCGAGUACUGUACGAAUAAGGAUCGGCUAACUCCGUGCCAGCAGCCGCGGUAAUACGGAGGAUCCAAGCGUUAUCCGGAUUUAUUGGGUUUAAAGGGUGCGUAGGCGGAUUGAUAAGUUAGAGGUUAAAUGUCCGAGCUUAACUCGGGAACUGCCUUUAAGACUGUUGAUCGAGAGAGUACGUGAGGUAGGCGGAAUGUAUGGUGUAGCGGUGAAAUGCUUAGAGAUCAUACAGAACACCGAUUGCGAAGGCAGCUUACCAAUCUAUAUCUGACGUUGAGGCACGAAAGCGUGGGUAGCAAACAGGAUUAGAUACCCGUGUAGUC